Molecule: ribosomal RNA, 292 nt
Filed under: uncultured bacterium
Lineage: Bacteria
Description: partial 16S ribosomal RNA
Rfam family: Bacterial small subunit ribosomal RNA
Source: RNAcentral
GUGCCAGCCGCCGCGGUAAUACGUAGGUGGCAAGCGUUGUCCGGAUUUACUGGGCGUAAAGGAUGCGUAGGCGGAUACUUAAGUCAGAUGUGAAAAUCCCGGGCUUAACUUGGGAACUGCAUUUGAAACUGGGUAUCUAGAGUGCGGGAGAGGAGAGUGGAAUUCCUAGUGUAGCGGUGAAAUGCGUAGAGAUUAGGAAGAACACCAGUGGCGAAGGCGACUCUCUGGACCGUAACUGACGCUGAGGCAUGAAAGCGUGGGGAGCAAACAGGAUUAGAAACCCCAGUAGUCC